UACGAAGGGUGCAAGCGUUAAUCGGAAUUACUGGACGUAAAGCGCGCGUAGGUGGUUCAGUAAGUUGGAAGUGAAAUCCCCGGGCUCAACCUGGGAACUGCUUUCAAAACUGCUGAGCUAGAGUACGGUAGAGGGUGGUGGAAUUUCCUGUGUAGCGGUGAAAUGCGUAGAUAUAGGAAGGAACACCAGUGGCGAAGGCGACCACCUGGACUGAUACUGACACUGAGGUGCGAAAGCAUGGGGAGCAAACAGG
RNAcentral lists this ribosomal RNA (253 nucleotides) under uncultured bacterium. RNAcentral describes it as "partial 16S ribosomal RNA". It matches the Rfam family "Bacterial small subunit ribosomal RNA", at positions 524 to 776 of the family's 1533-position model. The record is from RNAcentral.